Solenopsis invicta (red fire ant) is the source of this 2783-nucleotide long non-coding RNA. RefSeq lists it as uncharacterized. The transcript has 5 exons. Lineage: Eukaryota; Metazoa; Arthropoda; Insecta; Hymenoptera; Formicidae. The record is from RefSeq and is a predicted model, not a curated record.
AAUUGUGUCGGGUACUCGGGGGACCUUUGUAAUCUCAUGGAAUAUUGGACGCAGCUGGACGCAGCUACUAAACGAAGCCGCUCAGCUUAUUGUAACCCUGUAGCAUCUUUGGUUAAGAUAUAAGAGAAGUCUUACAAGAACGUUUCGACUCUAAUUUGCUCAUCUUCAGCUAUCGCGAGGAACAAUGUUACAUAUUUAUGUAUGUGGACUUCUUCCUGGUUGAGCAAUCUACCGGUUCCAAAACCAAGGGCAAGAUUUCACUGGUUGCCUUUCCAGUGACCAUUCCCUUUUCAUGGAGGAUUACUUUGCGUUCAUUAAAGAAGCCUUGCACGAUGUCACAUUAAUUAAUAGGACUAUACAAAAUUAAUCUUGUGUCACACUUGUAUGAUCACGUUCUCAUUAUGACCUGUCGUUCUGAAUUGACAAUUUAGAAAGUAUCACUUCGGUGUUAUUUUGGUUAUUUUGAAUAAUUUUAUCUAUCUUUUUUCUUCCCUAUUUUUGUUUAAUUUACUCAUUUUUUAUUUAUCUUUUUAUUUAAUUUACGUUUAUUUGUUUAGAAAAUGGAUACAGCUGUAUAUAGGACAAGACGUCGAGUGUUGUUGCUGGCUCUAUUAUAUAUAAGAAGAAAGAAAAAAAGAAAUAAGAAUGUAUCAAAUAGAAGAUUUUGGAUACAUCCAAUACUACGAUUAAAACAACAGCAAGGAGAUUGGAAUAAUUUGAUUCAUGAAAUGCGUUUACAAAAUGACAACAUGUACUUCAAUUACAUGAGGAUGCCACCCACAAUGUUUGAUUAUAUAUUAUCAAGAGUUGGGCCUCUUAUAACAAAACAAGAAACAAAUUGGAGAGUACCGAUUCCAGCAUGUGCAAGAUUGUCUAUGACUUUACGGUAUUUAGCAAGUGGAGAUUCACUUCAAUCUAAUGCAUGGAACUAUCGAAUCGGACGAAGCACAGCAUCAAGAAUAAUAAAAGAAACGUGUGAAGCAAUAUGGGAAUGUUUUCAUAAAGACCAAUUAUUUACUCCAACACAAGAUGGAUGGCGCGAAAUAGCUCAUGAAUUUCAAGAACACUGGAACUUUCCUAAUUGUAUUGGUGCUUUGGAAAGCACGUUGAAAUAAUCUGUCUUGAACAUUCUGGAAGUGCAUACUUUAACUAUAAAUCAUUUUACAGUAUAAUUUUAUUAGCACUUGUUUCUGCUACUUAUAAAUUCUUAAUUGUGGAUAUUGGUGCGCAAGGUAGGCACAGUGAUGGGGGAAUUUUUAAAAAUUCUAUAAUGGGACAAAGAUUCUAUAACAAUACAAUGAAUUUGCCUGAACCCUCUCCUAUUAGCAACAGACAUACUGUACCAUAUGUUAUAGUAGCUGAUGAAGCUUUUCAACUACAAACGUUUACUAUGAGACCAUAUCCUUCGAAAAAUUUAAACAAAGAGCAACGAAUAUUUAACUAUAGACUAAGUAGAGCUCGACGAGUUGUGGAAAAUGCAUUCGGCAUAUUGACAAGUCGAUGGCGUAUUUAUCAGAAGCCAAUAAAUACUAGCCUUGAAACAGUUGAUGCCAUAAUCAAAGCGACAAUUUGUUUGCAUAAUCUUUUAAUGAAUGAAUCAUUUUAUUGUGUAGCUAGUUAUGCCGAUAGAACAUCUAUAAAUGGAGAAAUACUCGAAGGAGAUUGGAGAAGAACAAAUUUUAAUUGUUUUAAUGAUGCAAAUAAUACAAGUUUUGCCAGUAAUAAUUACACAAGACGUGCUAAUGAAAUUAGAAAUAUCUUCACUGAUUAUUUUAUGAAUGAGGGUCAGGUUCCUUGGCAAGAUGAAGUAAUAUUCAAAAAUUAAUGUACACAAAUUUUUUUGAAGUUCUAAAAGUUGUCACCAGCUUCGUUAAAAGGAUGUAGGAUUCGCUAUUGAAGUUCUCAAAAUUAUGCAAGGCCCUACAUUCAGAGUGAACGCAAUAAUUUUCGAUAAAUAAUGCAGCAGUAUGGUAUCAUGCGCAGACGAUAAAGUAUUAAAUAUAAUUAAAGUUCGAAUAAGUAUGAUAUGUUUACGUCUUACAAAUUUUUGGUACAUUAUGUUUUCUUAAAAACAAUUAUUUUUAUUAUUCUAGUAACAUGUUUACAUAUCACAAAUCUUUAGUACAUUAUGUACUCUUAAAAAUAAUCUUCAUUAUUCCACGUUUACAUAUCACAAAUCUUUAGUACAUUAUGUACUCUUAAAAAUAAUCUUCAUUAUUCCACGUUUACAUAUCAUAUAUCUUUAGUACAUUAUGAUGUACUCUUAAAAAUAACUAUCAUUAUUGUUUCACUAAAUUUAUAAACUAAAUAUAUCUGUAUGUAUAUUAAAAUGACAAGUUAUAUUCUAAACUUCUUAAAAACAAUUAUACUUUAAAAUUAAAAUAACUUUAUAAUAGCUUUAUAAUACUGUAUUCCAAAAUGUUAAAGAAAAACAUUUUAUAAGUCUUCUUCCAUAAGUAUUUGUGAGAUUCUGUUAAUUAUGCGUUUGGAAGUGUCCGGAAGCAUUCCUCGAAGACACGCUUCAACAUAUUUUACAAAAGUUUCAAUUUUAUCCGGUUUUGUGUGAGGAAGUUCAUUUAUCGGUCUUGUUUUUUGUAAUUCUUGUAUAAUAGCUUCUUCUACACGAUUAUCUAUAUUUUCUAGUUUUGAUUUUCCUAUAGAAAAAACAAAAUAUAUUGAUAUUUUUUCUUAUUCAUUUCUUCUUCUAUAAGUAAGUCUUUUUAUAACAAAUGGUUAAAAUUAUAAUUGAAACGUUUACAAAUAAAUAAUGUACUCAAUUUUAA